CGACCUACGGGACGCAGCAGUGAGGAAUAUUGUUCAAUGGGCGGAAGCCUGAACCAGCCAAGUCGCGUGAGGGAAUAAGGCCCUACGGGUCGUAAACCUCUUUUGCCGGGGAGCAAGGGCGGGGACGUGUCCCGGCCCGGAGAGUACCCGGAGAAAAAGCAUCGGCUAACUCCGUGCCAGCAGCCGCGGUAAUACGGAGGAUGCGAGCGUUAUCCGGAUUUAUUGGGUUUAAAGUGUGCGUAGGCGGGCUUUUAAGUCAGCGGUAAAAAUUCGGGGUUCAACCCCGUCCGGUCGUUACAACUGGG
RNAcentral lists this ribosomal RNA (305 nucleotides) under uncultured bacterium. RNAcentral describes it as "bacterial SSU rRNA". It matches the Rfam family "Bacterial small subunit ribosomal RNA", at positions 335 to 637 of the family's 1533-position model. The record is from RNAcentral.